UAAGUAAGCUUUGAUCCGGAGAUUGCCGAAUGGGGGAACCCAGCAUCUUUUAUAGGAUGUUACUUUUCAGUGAAUACAUAGCUGAUUAGAGGUAGACGCAGAGAACUGAAACAUCUAAGUACCUGCAGGAAGAGAAAGAAAAAUCGAUUCCCUGAGUAGCGGCGAGCGAAACGGGAAAAGCCCAAACCAAGAGGCUUGCCUCUUGGGGUUGUAGGACUCCGAUACGGUAGUCCAGUGAGAUAGUCGAAGGACCUGGAAAGGUCUGCUAGAAAGGGUAAAAGCCCCGUAGACAAAAUUUGACUGGCACCUAGGAGGAUCCUGAGUACGGCGGAACACGAGGAAUUCCGUCGGAAUCCGGGAGGACCAUCUCCCAAGGCUAAAUACUCCCUAGUGACCGAUAGUGAACCAGUACCGUGAGGGAAAGGUGAAAAGCACCCCGGAAGGGGAGUGAAAUAGAUCCUGAAACCGUGUGCCUACAACAAGUUAGAGCCCGUUAAUGGGUGAUAGCGUGCCUUUUGUAGAAUGAACCGGCGAGUUACGAUUACUUGCGAGGUUAAGUUGAAAAGACGGAGCCGCAGCGAAAGCGAGUCUGAAUAGGGCGAAUGAGUAAGUGGUCGUAGACCCGAAACCAUGUGAUCUACCCAUGUCCAGGUUGAAGGUGCGGUAAAACGCACUGGAGGACCGAACCCACGUACGUUGAAAAGUGCGGGGAUGAGGUGUGGGUAGCGGAGAAAUUCCAAACGAACUUGGAGAUAGCUGGUUCUCUCCGAAAUAGCUUUAGGGCUAGCCUCAGAGUAAGAAUGAUGGAGGUAGAGCACUGUUUGGACUAGGGGCCCAUCUCGGGUUACCGAAUUCAGAUAAACUCCGAAUGCCAUCCAUUCAUCUCUGGGAGUCAGACUGUGAGUGAUAAGAUCCAUAGUCGAAAGGGAAACAGCCCAGACCACCAGCUAAGGUCCCCAAAUA
Molecule: ribosomal RNA, 963 nt
Filed under: Escherichia coli
Lineage: Bacteria; Pseudomonadati; Pseudomonadota; Gammaproteobacteria; Enterobacterales; Enterobacteriaceae
Description: partial 23S ribosomal RNA
Rfam family: Bacterial large subunit ribosomal RNA
Source: RNAcentral